This 584-nucleotide long non-coding RNA is filed under the name Solanum tuberosum (potato). RNAcentral describes it as "long non-coding RNA (STUB_LNC000403)". The record is from RNAcentral. Lineage: Eukaryota; Viridiplantae; Streptophyta; Magnoliopsida; Solanales; Solanaceae.
CUCACCAUUUAUUUUUUAACUCCAAUUUUGCGAAACCAUUUUUUACCUAAACAAGAUCCUCGAACGACUUUUAUCACUUCAAUUGUGAUUUUUGAAUCAUAUGUAAUCUUUUGUUUUUUCUUCCUCAAGAACACAUGAUCAACAACAUCAAGAACUCUCAAAUUUUCAAGUUCUUCAAUUCUUCAUGAAAUCAUCUCAAAUUUCGGUCACGUCAUUAUUUUUAUUUUUAUUUUUAAAAAAAUCAUUUGUGGAGUUAAGAAAACCCGUCCGUAUUUAAAUUUUUUUGAAAAAGCGGAAUCCCAAAAUUUGAAAAUUUGCUUUGAUUUGUGUUUUGGUUGUUGUUUUGACAUUAGAUCUUUAAUUUGUUCCCUAGUAUUUUUUUGAAUCUAUGUCCGAAAUUUCAAGUGAUUUAGGGUUGUGGAGAAACUUCUACCAUUAAAGGAUGUUGAAGUUUUGAACAAAUUUCAAGUGGGUUUUAUUGAGUUAGGUUGAAUUCGAUCUCAAAAGAUAUUGAGUUUGAUAACUAGUUCGGAGGAAAACUAUUCUUAAAAUUUGAGGUGAUUUCGUGAAGAAAUGAAGAAGUU